RNAcentral lists this ribosomal RNA (337 nucleotides) under uncultured bacterium. RNAcentral describes it as "bacterial SSU rRNA". It matches the Rfam family "Bacterial small subunit ribosomal RNA", at positions 29 to 368 of the family's 1533-position model. The record is from RNAcentral.
AAUGAACGUUGGCGGCGUGGAUUAGGCAUGCAAGUCGAGCGAGAACCCGCAAGGGGGACAGCGGCGAACGGGGUAGGAAUACGUAGGUAACGUACCCUCGGGGCGAGGACAGCCACGGGAAACUGUGGGUAAUACUCGAUAAACUUCCCAAUCAUUAUGGAAGGGAAGCAAUGGGUGUGAUUCCACCUGAGGAGCGGCUUACGCAGUAUCAGCUAGUUGGUGAGGUAACGGCUCACCAAGGCUACGACGCUUAGGGGGGUGUGAGAGCAUGGCCCCCACCACUGGCACUGAGACACUGGCCAGACACCUACGGGUGGCUGCAGUCGAGAAUCUUCGG